AAUAUCCUAGUGGCGAACGGGUGAGUAACGCGUGAGCAACCUGCCUUGUACAACGGGAUACCCGAGGGAAACUCCGGUUAAUACGGUAUAAGACCACACUACCGCAUGGUAGAGGGGUAAAAGGAGAAAUCCGGUAUAAGAUGGGCUCGCGUCGCAUUAGCUAGUUGGUAAGGUAACGGCUUACCAAGGCGACGAUGCGUAGCCGACCUGAGAGGGUGAUCGGCCACAUUGGGACUGAGAUACGGCCCAGACUCCUACGGGAGGCAGCAG
RNAcentral lists this ribosomal RNA (270 nucleotides) under uncultured bacterium. RNAcentral describes it as "partial 16S ribosomal RNA". It matches the Rfam family "Bacterial small subunit ribosomal RNA", at positions 86 to 354 of the family's 1533-position model. The record is from RNAcentral.